Molecule: unclassified non-coding RNA, 98 nt
Organism: Chlorocebus sabaeus (green monkey)
Lineage: Eukaryota; Metazoa; Chordata; Mammalia; Primates; Cercopithecidae
Rfam family: Y RNA
About the family: Y RNAs are components of the Ro ribonucleoprotein particle (Ro RNP), in association with Ro60 and La proteins. The Y RNAs and Ro60 and La proteins are well conserved, but the function of the Ro RNP is not known. In humans the RNA component can be one of four small RNAs -- hY1, hY3, hY4 and hY5.
Source: Ensembl
GGCUGAUCUGACUACAGUGGUGUUUACAAUUGAUCACAACCAGUUACGAAUUUCUUUGUUCCUUUUCCACUCACACUGCUUCACUUGACUAGCUUUAA